ACCUGGGAACUGCAUUUGUGACUGCAUAGCUAGAGUCUGUCAGAGGGGGGUGGAAUUCCACGUGUAGCAGUGAAAUGCGUAGAGAUGUGGAGGAACACCGAUGGCGAAGGCAGCCCCCUGGGAUAAGACUGACGCUCAUGUACGAAAGCGUGGGGAGCAAACAGGAUUAGAUACCCUGGUAGUCCACGCCCUAAACGAUGUCGACUAGUUGUCGGGCCUUUACAGGCUCGGUAACGCAGCUAACGCGUGAAGUCGACCGCCUGGGGAGUACGGUCGCAAGAUUAAAACUCAAAGGAAUUGACGGGGACCCGCACAAGCGGUGGAUGAUGUGGAUUAAUUCGAUGCAACGCGAAAAACCUUACCUACCCUUGACAUGCCCGGAAUCUCGCAGAGAUGCGAGAGUGCCCGAAAGGGAGCCGGGACACAGGUGCUG
This 433-nucleotide ribosomal RNA is filed under the name uncultured bacterium. RNAcentral describes it as "bacterial SSU rRNA". It matches the Rfam family "Bacterial small subunit ribosomal RNA", at positions 612 to 1043 of the family's 1533-position model. The record is from RNAcentral.